CGGAGCGUAGCUCAAUCGGUAGAGCAGCCGAUUUAUACUCGGUAAGCGCUGGAUAAGCCGCAGGUUGCCGGUUCGAACUGGCCGCUCUGACCA
Molecule: transfer RNA, 93 nt
Filed under: Akkermansiaceae bacterium
Lineage: Bacteria; Pseudomonadati; Verrucomicrobiota; Verrucomicrobiia; Verrucomicrobiales; Akkermansiaceae
Description: tRNA-Ile
Rfam family: tRNA
About the family: Transfer RNA (tRNA) molecules are approximately 80 nucleotides in length.
Source: RNAcentral